AGUCGUAACAAGGUUUCCGUAGGUGAACCUGCGGAAGGAUCAUUAAUGAAUUUUAGGACGUUCUUUUUAGAAGUCCGACCCUUUCAUUUUCUUACACCGUGCACACACUUCUUUUUUACACACACUUUUAACACCUUAGUAUAAGAAUGUAAUAGUCUCUUAAUUGAGCAUAAAUAAAAACAAAACUUUCAGCAACGGAUCUCUUGGCUCUCGCAUCGAUGAAGAACGCAGCGAAUUGCGAUAAGUAAUGUGAAUUGCAGAAUUCAGUGAAUCAUCGAAUCUUUGAACGCACCUUGCACUCUUUGGUAUUCCGAAGAGUAUGUCUGUUUGAGUGUCAUGAAACUCUCAACCCCCCUAUUUUGUAAUGAGAUGGGCGUGGGCUUGGAUUAUGGUUGUCUGUUGGCGUAAUUGCCGGCUCAACUGAAAUACACGAGCAACCCUACUGAAAUAAACGGUUUGACUUGGCGUAAUAAUUAUUUCGCUGAGGACGUUUUCUUCAACUAUAAGAGGUGCUUCUAAUUCGCUUCUAAUAGCAUUUAAGCUUUAGACCUCAAAUCAGUCAGGACUACCCGCUGAACUUAAGCAUAUCAAUAAAAGUCG
Molecule: ribosomal RNA, 600 nt
Filed under: uncultured fungus
Lineage: Eukaryota; Fungi
Description: eukaryotic LSU rRNA
Rfam family: 5.8S ribosomal RNA (bases 184-337)
Source: RNAcentral